GACGAACGUUGGCGGCGUGCUUAAUACAUGCAAGUCAACUGAAGCAGUGGUAGCAAUAUCGCUGUGGAGGUGGCGCACGGGGGAGUAACACGUAGGUAAUCUGCCUUCAGGUCUGGCAUAACUCCGGGAAACCGGGGCUAAUAGCAGAUGAUGCAGCGGCUCGACAUCGAGACAGUUGUUAAAGCUAUGGCGCCUGAAGAUGAGCCUGCGUCUGAUUAGCUAGUUGGCGGGGUAACGGCCCACCAAGGCAACGAUCAGUAGCUGGUCUGAGAGGAUGAUCAGCAACACUGGAACUGAGACACGGCCCAGACUCCUACGGGGGGCAGAAGUAAGGAAUAUUGCUCAAUGGGAGAAAUCCUGAAGCAGCGACGGCGCGUGAGGGACGAAGGGCUUUUGCUUGUAAACCUCUGUAGUGAGAGAAAAAAAUCCCAAUCUUUGGGACAUGAUGGUAUCUAAAAAGUAAGCCCCGGCUAACUACGUG
RNAcentral lists this ribosomal RNA (481 nucleotides) under uncultured bacterium. RNAcentral's name for it is "partial 16S ribosomal RNA". It matches the Rfam family "Bacterial small subunit ribosomal RNA", at positions 28 to 507 of the family's 1533-position model. The record is from RNAcentral.